AUUGAACGCUGGCGGCAGGCCUAACACAUGCAAGUCGAACGAGUGGCGGACGGGUGAGUAAUGUCUGGGACACUGCCUGAUGGAGGGGGAUAACUACUGGAAACGGUCGCUUAUCACGCAUACCAUCAGAUGUGCCCAGAUGGGAUUAGCUUGUUGGUGGGGUAACGGCUCACCAAGGCGCAGAUCCCUAGCUGGUCUGAGAGGAUGACCAGCCACACUGGAACUGAGACACGGUACAGACUCCUACGGGAGGCAGCAGUGGGGAAUAUUGCACAAUGGGCGAAAGCCUGAUGCAGCCAUGCCGCGUGUAUGAAGAAGGCCUUCGGGUUGUAAAGCACUUUCAGCGGGGAGGCGUUACCCGCAGAAGAAGCACCGGCUAACUCCGUGCCAGCAGCCGCGGUAAUUC
Molecule: ribosomal RNA, 406 nt
Filed under: uncultured bacterium
Lineage: Bacteria
Description: partial 16S ribosomal RNA
Rfam family: Bacterial small subunit ribosomal RNA
Source: RNAcentral